RNAcentral lists this ribosomal RNA (301 nucleotides) under uncultured bacterium. Its description in RNAcentral is "partial 16S ribosomal RNA". It matches the Rfam family "Bacterial small subunit ribosomal RNA", at positions 509 to 807 of the family's 1533-position model. The record is from RNAcentral.
CAGUCGCCACGGUAAUACGAGGGGUGCAAGCGUUAUUCGGAUUGAUUGGGUGUAAAGGGUGUGCAGACGGCUUAUUAAGUCACUUGUUAAAUUCUUCGGCCUAACUGAAGGUCUGCAAGUGAUACUGAUGAGCUAGAGGGUGGAAGAGAGAAGUGGAAUUCUCGGAGUAGCGGUAAAAUGCGUAGAUCUCGAGAGGAACACCAAUGGCGAAGGCGACUCUCUGGUCUGUAACUGACGCUGAGGAGCGAAAGCGUGGGGAGCGAACAGGAUUAGAUACCCGCGUAGUCCCUGUCUCUUAUAC